This 244-nucleotide non-coding RNA is filed under the name Paucilactobacillus vaccinostercus. RNAcentral describes it as "Lactobacillus vaccinostercus T-box sequence". It matches the Rfam family "T-box leader". From Rfam's summary of the family: Uncharged tRNA acts as the effector for transcription antitermination of genes in the T-box leader family. T-boxes are found upstream of many aminoacyl-tRNA synthetase genes and some amino acid biosynthetic genes usually in Gram-positive bacteria. The record is from RNAcentral. Lineage: Bacteria; Bacillati; Bacillota; Bacilli; Lactobacillales; Lactobacillaceae.
GAGAACACGUUGAGAGGAAAAAGUAGACUAUCUUCGUUAACUUAGAGAGUUCCAGUGAUGGUGAGAUGGAAUGGCAACGAGGUAGUUGAAAAUCGUCCUUGAGUGAUUACUUGAACGGCGUCCGCCAAGUAAAGUGAAUUGGAAAGCACCCAUUACCGUGCCGGCGUAUGAUUGUACGUGAGAGACCUGUUUAGUAAUAGAUAGGUGAACUUAGGUGGUAACACGGUGUUUUUCCGUCCUAUUA